Molecule: unclassified non-coding RNA, 387 nt
Filed under: soil metagenome
Description: partial contains 5.8S ribosomal RNA, internal transcribed spacer 2, and large subunit ribosomal RNA
Rfam family: 5.8S ribosomal RNA (bases 3-120)
Source: RNAcentral
GGUGAAGAACGUAGCGAAAUGCGAUAAGUAAUGUGAAUUGCAGAAUUCAGUGAAUCAUCGAAUCUUUGAACGCACCUUGCACCCUUUGGUAUUCCGAAGGGUAUGCUCGUUUGAGUGUCAUUGUACUCUCACACUUCUAAUUCCUUUCGGGAUUUGGAGCGGUGGACUUGGGUGUUGCUGCUUUAGUUGUGGCUCACCUCAAAUAAGUUAGUGCAACUCUUGGUUGGACAUAGUACGGCGUGAUAAGUGUCUUCGCCGGCGCCUCUGUAAGGAGGGUGGCCGAUCGGGAGCUCUGUGCUUCAAACCGUCUUCGGACAAUCUUUGACAACUUGACCUCAAAUCGAGUAGGACUACCCGCUGAACUUAAGCAUAUCAAUAAGCGGAGGA